UACAGAGGUCCCAAGCGUUGUUCGGAUUUACUGGGCGUAAAGGGUGCGUAGGUGGUCGGGUAAGUUUGAUGUGAAAUCUCCGGGCUUAACCCGGAAAUGGCAUUGAAUACUAUUCGGCUGGAGGGUUGGAGGGGGGACUGGAAUACUUGGUGUAGCAGUGAAAUGCGUAGAUAUCAAGUGGAACACCAGUGGCGAAGGCGAGUCCCUGGACAAGACCUGACACUGAGGCACGAAAGCCAGGGGAGCAAACAGG
This 253-nucleotide ribosomal RNA is filed under the name uncultured bacterium. Its description in RNAcentral is "partial 16S ribosomal RNA". It matches the Rfam family "Bacterial small subunit ribosomal RNA", at positions 524 to 776 of the family's 1533-position model. The record is from RNAcentral.